GAAUAUGGGGGGACCAUCCUCCAAGGCUAAAUACUCCUGACUGACCGAUAGUGAACCAGUACCGUGAGGGAAAGGCGAAAAGAACCCCGGCGAGGGGAGUGAAAAAGAACCUGAAACCGUGUACGUACAAGCAGUGGGAGCACCCUUUGGGGUGUGACUGCGUACCUUUUGUAUAAUGGGUCAGCGACUUAUAUUCUGUAGCAAGGUUAACCGAAUAGGGGAGCCGGAGGGAAACCGAGUCUUAAUUGGGCGUUAAGUUGCAGGGUAUAGACCCGAAACCCGGUGAUCUAGCCAUGGGCAGGUUGAAGGUUGGGUAACACUAACUGGAGGACCGAACCGACUAAUGUUGAAAAAUUAGCGGAUGACCUGUGGCUGGGGGUGAAAGGCCAAUCAAACCGGGAGAUAGCUGGUUCUCCCCGAAAGCUAUUUAGGUAGCGCCUCGUGAAUUCAUCUCCGGGGGUAGAGCACUGUUUCGGCUAGGGGGCCAUCCCGGCUUACCAACCCGAUGCAAACUGCGAAUACCGGAGAAUGUUAUCACGGGAGACACACGGCGGGUGCUAACGUCCGUCGUGAAGAGGGAAACAACCCAGACCGCCAGCUAAGGUCCCAAAGUCAUGGUUAAGUGGGAAACGAUGUGGGAAGGCCCAGACAGCCAGGAUGUUGGCUUAGAAGCAGCCAUCAUUUAAAGAAAGCGUAAUAGCUCACUGGUCGAGUCGGCCUGCGCGGAAGAUGUAACGGGGCUAAACCAU
This 749-nucleotide ribosomal RNA is filed under the name Salmonella enterica subsp. enterica serovar Mishmarhaemek. Its description in RNAcentral is "partial 23S ribosomal RNA". It matches the Rfam family "Bacterial large subunit ribosomal RNA", at positions 440 to 1190 of the family's 2925-position model. Lineage: Bacteria; Pseudomonadati; Pseudomonadota; Gammaproteobacteria; Enterobacterales; Enterobacteriaceae. The record is from RNAcentral.